Molecule: ribosomal RNA, 194 nt
Filed under: uncultured bacterium
Lineage: Bacteria
Description: partial 16S ribosomal RNA
Rfam family: Bacterial small subunit ribosomal RNA
Source: RNAcentral
UGCAACUCGCCUGCACGAAGUCGGAAUUGCUAGUAAUCGUAGGUCAGCAUACUACGGUGAAUACGUUCCCGGGCCUUGUACACACCGCCCGUCACACCAUGGGAGCCGGUAAUACCCGAAGUCAGUAGUCCAACCUCGUGAGGACGCUGCCGAAGGUAGGAUUGGCGACUGGGGUGAAGUCGUAACAAGGUACC